This 339-nucleotide ribosomal RNA is filed under the name Shigella flexneri. RNAcentral's name for it is "bacterial SSU rRNA". It matches the Rfam family "Bacterial small subunit ribosomal RNA", at positions 1 to 337 of the family's 1533-position model. Lineage: Bacteria; Pseudomonadati; Pseudomonadota; Gammaproteobacteria; Enterobacterales; Enterobacteriaceae. The record is from RNAcentral.
AAAUUGAAGAGUUUGAUCAUGGCUCAGAUUGAACGCUGGCGGCAGGCCUAACACAUGCAAGUCGAACGGUAACAGGAAGCGCUUGCUGCUUCGCUGACGAGUGGCGGACGGGUGAGUAAUGUCUGGGAAACUGCCUGAUGGAGGGGGAUAACUACUGGAAACGGUAGCUAAUACCGCAUAACGUCGCAAGACCAAAGAGGGGGACCUUCGGGCCUCUUGCCAUCGGAUGUGCCCAGAUGGGAUUAGCUUGUUGGUGGGGUAACGGCUCACCAAGGCGACGAUCCCUAGCUGGUCUGAGAGGAUGACCAGCCACACUGGAACUGAGACACGGUCCAGACU